CAAUCUUUAUAAUUCUAGGAAUAACCCGUUGGUCGGAGGAGACGUGUUAUGCUUUCUACACUAGCCGCGUCAAUUAUUAUUGUCAAGUCUUUUACCAAUCUUCAUUGACAGAAAUACACCAUGAAUUCCGAUAUAAGACUGGUGUUACUGGGAAAGACAGGUGCAGGCAAAAGUUCACUGGGAAACAGUUUACUUUGGAGAAAAGAGUUUAAAUCCUCCCCGCUACAGAUCACAAAUACCUCCAAACCAGAAUGUCGACGUGGAUCGACUCAACUUGUGGAUGGAACCAAACUAGUUAUUGUUGAUACACCUGGAAUUGCUGAUACUAAAGUGUCUACCAUGGACACAUUUGACGAACUUACACGAUGUAUAGAGCUUUCGCACCCAGGUCCCCACGCAUUCCUGUUAGUCCUGAAGAUUGAUAGAUUUACACAGGAAGAGAUGGACACAAUCAAACACCUCAAAUAUUGGUUUGGGCAGGAUAUCAUGAAAUACGCAAUUUUCGUUUUCACCGGUAAAGAUUCGCUGAAUUAUGCUGGUUUAUUAAUUAACGAGCAUGUUCAGAACAGUCCAACUGAACUGAAAGACCUUAUAGCGGAAGCAGGCGGACGUUUUACAGCAAUCAACACUCGGGGUCGUGGCCCUGAACUUGAAAUAGAUGUUAACACCAUAAUGACUCUAGUGAAACAAACCAUGCGGGUUAACAACGAUCAACAUUACACCCAACAAAUGUACAGCCAGGCUGUGAAGGCGCGGAAAGGACAAACGAAUCUGGUGGAAGACGAGGAGUUUCAAGAUAUAAAGGAUUUGCGAUUACGGGAGAUAGCGAAAAAGUACAAGAGACAAGGUGUUGAACGAGGACCAAAUAUUGUAACUUGGUUUCUUAAAUGCUGUAGAUAUCUCUAUCGGGCAGUAGGAUAUGUGUCAAAAACUAUUUUUACAUGUUGGACCAAUACCGCUACUUUUCUUGUUGUUCUUCUUAUUCUUGGUUUUGGGGUGACGAUGCUCUUCAGAAAGCCCGGUCGAAAUGAAAAUUAGCGUGCGUCUUCUUUGCACAAUUCUGCAUCGAUUUAGUGAAUUAGAUUUUUGAAUUUCAUCCAACAACAAGGUCGUUCCUUGUCCAUAGUACGAUCGUACUUGUUUUAUUCAAUGCUGUACAUGGUUAGUAAGAUACUUGGUUUAUUCAAUGCUGUAACAUGGUUAGUAAGAUACUUUGGAUUUUAUUUAUGCUGUAAAAAUUUCAACGCAAUGACGGAAUGAAAUGUGCUGAUAUGAGAAUAUUUUCAAAAUUUCAUCAUUCAAUCCGCCUUUCGGCCGACGAUCACCAAGGAUUGCAACACACGUCGUACAAGUUACUGCAUGGAUAGCCAGCACAAGCGCCCGACGAGAGCAGUCAGUGAUAUAAUAUACUCAGAUUUUACUUUGGAAAGGUUAAAAGAUAACACUGAAAUGAGUUUGAAUUACUACCAUUAUGUACAAAACGUUUUGAUGAAUACAUUCAACAAAUAUGUUGACAUUGGGUCGCCCUGUCUAACGCCGCAUUAUAUUGUUGAUAUAGUUUGUAGCGUAGCCUUGAUUUAUAAACGCACAUUUUUUGUUGCUGUACAAUGUUUUGAUCCACCUUGUACUAUGGAAUCUAAUGCUUUAGUGAAGUCGAUAGGCAGGAAAAAGCUAAUAAUUGUCCGUUGCUGCUCAACGCUCAUUCAUGAUUUGAUUAUAAAAUGGAUAAUCGAGACUGUCGUUUAUCGUACUGACUUUAGUAAUUAUGAUCGAGGCUAGGCCUUAAAGUUCAAUCACUAAUACUCGGUUCAGAGUGGAAUUAAUUUGAUUGAACUCUUCAGCACAUUUCCUUUACAUUAUCUAGUACAUGUAUUUUAACUAUUAUAGUGAGAACUGUCAGCUUUUACUCUAAUCUCCCAUAAAGUAUCUUUAAACCAGCUAACUCGCUAAUAUUUGGGACCUAGAAAUUGACACAAAUGGUUCGCAAUGCAUAUAAGAAUAUAAUAUGAAUGCAUAUAAACUGACUUACAUUCAAUCGUUUCUGCUUUUAUUGUAAUUUCUAAUCAGUUAUGUUCGGCGAAAUACGCCAGAGGUUUCAAUCGAAUGGCAAUCUGUAGCGUCUGUUUAUUCCAGUCUACAUCGAUAAAAUUUAUUAGGCAUGUUCUCCAGAAUAUGGCGUCACUGUUUGACAUGAAUUGUGGAAUCUGUCUAGUCUCGUUCCUCGCGCCCCUUGUUACAAAUGGCGCUGAAACACAUUGUACACGAUUCGUGUAUCAAUGGUAAAAUGUUUAUUUUGUCUUAAAUACUGGAUAUCACAUUGUACAAGAUUCGUGUAUCAAUGGUAAAAUGUUUAUUUUGUCUUAAAUACUGGAUAUCAGAUGCCCAUAUUUUCUCGGUAAGAUCACAACAUCAAUGAUGAUUUAAAUUGACAAAUAAUUCGUGUUUCAUUGUCAAAGACUUUGGAUGAUAUUGAGUUAAGAGUUUUAGCAACUUCAAUGUAACAGCGGCCUGUUGUAAUGUUGUAUUUUUAGCUCUUAUUAAAGCGAAUACACAUGUAUGACUACACAAGGUUUCCAGUCAACAUUAUAAUUUAAAUCUAUAAAUGGAACAAAUCAAAACAUGUAAAGACAAAUAUAUAAAAUA
Molecule: RNA transcript, 2643 nt
Organism: Patella vulgata (common limpet)
Lineage: Eukaryota; Metazoa; Mollusca; Gastropoda; Patellidae
Gene name: GTPase IMAP family member 4-like
Exons: 3
Source: RefSeq, a predicted model, not a curated record